This 899-nucleotide long non-coding RNA is filed under the name Mytilus galloprovincialis (Mediterranean mussel). Lineage: Eukaryota; Metazoa; Mollusca; Bivalvia; Mytilida; Mytilidae. The record is from RNAcentral.
UGCAUGUUCAAUAGUCAUAAAUCUACAUAGCCCUGUGAAGCUACUAUGAUAUUGAACGCGACCAAUAUAAAUAUCAUCAAGUAAAUUUUUUUAGUAAAUUGCAAAUAGUUGUCUAAUAUCAUUAAAAAAAAAUCUUGUUGCAAGAUGGUGGAGAAAAUCUGACAGUUACAAAUUCUGAAAAUGUCGAAGGUGCCAAAUUGAUUCAUCCUAUUUCUGCCAUUAUAUAUAACAAAAAAAAGUCAGUUUUUGAUAAUUGCUCUAUAAACGACAAUAUUUGGCCAAACUAAGCUGUACAUGUAUUGCCUUUUAUGAUCUUUUAUCUUUUAAAAUGUAAUUGAUAAUCUGAUACGGGUAUAUUGUACAUGUAGGAAUGAUACCAAUGCUUUCCCAUAUACAAGUGGAUAAAUGAUAUUUUUUUGAGGGGAAAAUAUUAACAAGUUGUGCUUCUGAUAUACUUAUACAUGUAGAAUUGGCUAAUCUCAGCAAAAUUCUUUUUGGACGUUUUUAAACAAAAAUAAUUAAAGAUGUCAUGAUAAACAUUUUAUUUUCAACUUGUUGGCAAUGAAUGACCAUGUGGCAUACAUGUACAUCCCUUUUCAAACCACAACCAUCCCCAAAGACCCCACCCCCGAUCUUCCACUUUUUACAACAAGCUUUUUAAGAAAGUUUGUUCCCUCUUUUUUGUGGAAUAAAACUUAUAUCGUGUGGAGGCUCUACAAAGUUCGCUUAAUUUAUUUUAAUUCAUAACCCAUACAGAAAAAAUUAUCACUAGGCCAACUGCAUUGCUCAACUGGCCGCCAGUUGAGCUAACAAUUUAUGGACUACACAUUGUAGAAAAAAUAAAUUUAAAUUGUGUAUUUUUAUAGCCAAAGUACUGCUGAAAGAUCUUAACUCACAAC